CACGUAGGGCGCAAGCGUUGUCCGGAAUUAUUGGGCGUAAAGAGCGUGUAGGCGGCCAAGCAGGUCCGUUGUGAAAACUGGAGGCUUAACCUCCAGACGUCGACGGAAACCGCGCGGCUAGAGUCCGGAAGAGGAGAGUGGAAUUCCUGGUGUAGCGGUGAAAUGCGCAGAUAUCAGGAAGAACACCAAUGGCGAAGGCAGCUCUCUGGGACGGUACUGACGCUGAGACGCGAAAGCGUGGGGAGCGAACAGG
RNAcentral lists this ribosomal RNA (253 nucleotides) under uncultured bacterium. RNAcentral describes it as "partial 16S ribosomal RNA". It matches the Rfam family "Bacterial small subunit ribosomal RNA", at positions 524 to 776 of the family's 1533-position model. The record is from RNAcentral.